Long non-coding RNA from Pseudophryne corroboree (corroboree frog), 166 nucleotides. RefSeq lists it as uncharacterized. The transcript is spliced from 2 exons. The record is from RefSeq and is a predicted model, not a curated record. NCBI's taxonomy places the organism in Eukaryota, Metazoa, Chordata, Amphibia, Anura, Myobatrachidae.
CAGCAUCUUCACUAUGUUGAAAAAGCUAUCUAGUACAUCAGUGUGAUCUGGUAUGUUGUCCAGGUGUUUUAAGUGCCAAUCUUGAUAAAGGUCCUCACAUGGACCGAAACGUCGAUGAAAAACGGCAUCAACAGUGAACCUGAAUAAAAUUAUAUUGAAUUUACAA